UUCCUGUAGAGUGUGCACAGUUGAGA
RNAcentral lists this non-coding RNA (26 nucleotides) under Mus musculus (house mouse). The record is from RNAcentral. Lineage: Eukaryota; Metazoa; Chordata; Mammalia; Rodentia; Muridae.